UACGUAGGGGGCAAGCGUUGUCCGGAAUCAUUGGGCGUAAAGCGCGUGUAGGCGGUUCGAUAAGUCUGCUGUGAAAGUCCAGGGCUCAACCCUGGGAUGCCGGUGGAUACUGUCGGGCUAGAGUGCGGAAGAGGCGAGUGGAAUUCCCGGUGUAGCGGUGAAAUGCGCAGAUAUCGGGAGGAACACCAAUUGCGAAGGCAGCUCGCUGGGACGUAACUGACGCUGAGACGCGAAAGCGUGGGGAGCAAACAGG
RNAcentral lists this ribosomal RNA (253 nucleotides) under uncultured bacterium. RNAcentral describes it as "partial 16S ribosomal RNA". It matches the Rfam family "Bacterial small subunit ribosomal RNA", at positions 524 to 776 of the family's 1533-position model. The record is from RNAcentral.